AGACCGAUAGCGAACAAGUACCGUGAGGGAAAGAUGAAAAGCACUUUGGAAAGAGAGUUAAACAGUACGUGAAAUUGUUGAAAGGGAAACGAUUGAAGUCAGUCAUGCUCUUUGGAUUCAGCCGUUCUGCGGUGUAUUUCCAUUGAGUGGGGUCAACAUCAGUUUUGACCGCUGGAUAAAGGCACUAGGAAGGUAGCACUCUCGGGUGAACUUAUAGCCUAGCGUCAUAUACAGUGGUUGGGACUGAGGAACGCAGCAUGCCUUUAUGGCCGGGAUUCGUCCACGUACAUGCUUAGGAUGUUGACAUAAUGGCUUUAAACGACCCGUCUUGAAACACGGACCAAG
RNAcentral lists this ribosomal RNA (345 nucleotides) under Naganishia cf. uzbekistanensis EB93-4B-Y16. Its description in RNAcentral is "LSU rRNA". It matches the Rfam family "Eukaryotic large subunit ribosomal RNA", at positions 331 to 670 of the family's 3401-position model. The record is from RNAcentral. Lineage: Eukaryota; Fungi; Basidiomycota; Tremellomycetes; Filobasidiales; Filobasidiaceae.